UUGGAGGGCAAGUCUGGUGCCAGCAGCCGCGGUAAUUCCAGCUCCAAUAGCGUAUAUUAAAGUUGUUGCAGUUAAAAAGCUCGUAGUUGAAUUUCGGGGUCAGUAGGUUGGUCAUGCCACUGGUAUGUACUGGCCUCACUGAUUCCUCCUUCCUGAUGAGCCGUAAUGCCAUUAAUUUGGUGUUGCGAGGAAUCUGGACUGUUACUUUGAAAAAAUUAGAGUGUUUAAAGCAGGCUAACGCUUGAAUACAUUAGCAUGGAAUAAUGAAAUAGGACAUCCGAUUCUAUUUUGUUGGUUUCUAGGAUCGAUGUAAUGAUUAAUAGGGAUAGUUGGGGGCAUUAGUAUUCAAUUGUCAGAGGUGAAAUUCUUGGAUUUAUUGAAGACUAACUACUGCGAAAGCAUUUGCCAAGGAUGUUUUCAUUAAUCAAGAACGAAAGUUAGGGGAUCGAAGACGAUCAGAUACCGUCGUAGUCUUAACCAUAAACUAUGCCGACUAGGGAUCGGAUGAUGUUAAUUUUUUAAUGACUCAUUCGGCGCCUUACGGGAAACCAAAGUGUUUGGGUUC
Molecule: ribosomal RNA, 565 nt
Filed under: uncultured Glomeromycotina
Lineage: Eukaryota; Fungi; Glomeromycota
Description: SSU rRNA
Rfam family: Eukaryotic small subunit ribosomal RNA
Source: RNAcentral